Long non-coding RNA from Electrophorus electricus (electric eel), 1076 nucleotides. RefSeq lists it as uncharacterized. The record is from RefSeq and is a predicted model, not a curated record. Lineage: Eukaryota; Metazoa; Chordata; Actinopteri; Gymnotiformes; Gymnotidae.
CAGCACACGGAGAAAGAGCCACCACUCCUUGCUCAGAUGCUUGGCUGUAGACCUGAGGCUCAGGAGAAUUCAGCACCACAGCUAGCUGCAAGGCUCUGUCCCUCUCGCACAAUAUACGCCCCUCUGUUCGUCUCUGUGUCACAACUGUUAAAGGCUUCUCAGCAAUUCGCGCAUCUGUUCUCUGAUCGGCCCCAGACAACGAACACUCGCUUCGAAAGAUUUUUUAAAAAUCACAGCACUGAUACGGGAGGGAAUGGGUGUGUAGACAAGGGGAGCAGCGAAGGCCUGUGACUGGAAAGCACUCUGUGGAAUUCUGUCGGGAGUGAGAAUGCAUCCGGGCAGUUCUUCUAAACCCAUGGCUCCGCCGCCGCGUGUUCCCUCCACAGAGUCACCCGUCCUAUGGAAUAAUACCCAACAAGAGCGCAUUCCCGUCUCCAUGUAGGUCGAAGCUCCCGGAACAGGGCCAUCACUGCUGCCUGUACAGUAUAAACAUAUUCAGCGAUCAUAUGUAGUUACUUUGUUGUGCAUAAAUACAAAUGCAUGCGCGCGUGUGCAGACGCCCGGUCGUAAAGUAGCCGCGCUCGGGGCUUUUGCGUCGGCGCAGAAAAGUAUUUACUCAGUAAUAACGCAAACGAAAAGAGAGUCAUGGACCCAGCGGCUGCCAAGAAACAGGCUGGGUAAACACGGCCAUUAAACAGCUUCAAAUAAGGCCGACACUUACAGCCAUGUGCUCCACCGUCGCUUUAGAAUCCCUGUAUGUGUGUAUGCACUGUGCGCUUCCAGGGGAGAGACUGUGUGUGCGCGAGAGUGUUAUUUAUCCCUAACGUUACUUAUGUACACACUGUAAAUCAUGCUGCUGUGACCUUGCCCUAGGACUUGUGUAUUUAUUCCAGUUUUCCGUAAUGUAGGCGCAGUAAUGUGGGCGUGUCCCACCAGUGCCGCGCUCGGCGAUAUGUGUUAGAUCAUACGUGUGUGUUGGAUCAUGCCGUCAUGCCAUUUUCAUGGAAGCAGAUUCCAGUAUGUGAUGAGAACGGGCAAACAAACUGACCUGAGGGUUAUGACGGACAGGCAAGCAG